GACGAACGCUGGCGGCGUGCCUAACACAUGCAAGUCGAACGGAAAGGCCCUGCUUUUGUGGCGUGCUCGAGUGCCGAACGGGUGAGUAUCACGUGAGUAUCCUGCCCUUGACUUUGGGAUAACACCAGGAAACUCGGGCUAAUACAGCAUAGGAGCUCCUGCUGCAUGGUGUGCGUUGGAAAGUUUCGGCGGUGGGGGAUGGACUGGCGGCUUAUCAGCUUGUUGGUCGGGUAGUGGUUUACCAAGGCUUUGACGGGUAGCCGGCCUGAGAGGGUGAACGGCCACAUGAGGACUGAGAGACGGACCAGUCGGCAACGGUAGGCAGCGGUGGGGAAUAUUGCGCAGUGGGCGGAAGCCUGAUGCAGCAACGCCGCGUGCGUGAUGACGGGCUUCGGGGGGUAAACCGCUUUCGCCUGUGACGAAGCGUUAGUGACGGUAAUGGGUAAAGAAGCACCGGCUAACUACGUG
This 468-nucleotide ribosomal RNA is filed under the name uncultured bacterium. RNAcentral's name for it is "partial 16S ribosomal RNA". It matches the Rfam family "Bacterial small subunit ribosomal RNA", at positions 28 to 507 of the family's 1533-position model. The record is from RNAcentral.